GAACUAUAAACUGACUACACAGCUCCCUGGCCCGGGAAGGCUAUGAAACAGGCAACAUGGACAAUUUAAAGGUGUACAACAUCCGAGGUUCCAUUUCACCCUCAGGCAGCACGGAGUGGACAAGGUAAGGCCACCCUCCACUUUUCUUCUGGCUACUAUAUUGAUUCUCUGGAAACUCUCUCUGCUCCAAAAGAAACCACCCAAUCCCAUGGAGAAAAGGUGACACUGAAUUUGCACUGCUUUUUAUGGUUGCAUUUGUUUGACUAAGAGGGAGCAGAGUUCCAUACAACAGACUGCUUUAGUUGGGUGACUUGAAAAUAACACAUACCAGAUUAGUUCUCCAGAUGCAGAUUAGUACUAAGUUUGAAUCCUUUCUUUUAAAUUAAUUAAUGUAAUCUCAAUGUUUACAUAAUAGACAUUGACUUUUAUCUGGCACAUACAGUAUAUGACUCUGCCUUUAGCAAAAAUACCAUUCAAGCUAUCUUUAGCAGAUGUGAAUGUUUUAUUUUUAUUUUGGGGACUCCAAAGAGAGUCCAUAACCUACCUUGGCAUUGUCAGAUCUCAAAAAAAGCUUUCUUCAUACUUGCAAUAUAGUAAUAUCUAAGUACUUGGACAUCUCUGCACAAAAUAUAUGGGUCCACAUCUCCCUGUUUUUCCAUAUACUAUUCCCUCUGCAACCUUGUUCACAUAGCAAACUCUAAUUUAUUCUUCAAUAGGCAGCCUAUGCCACCUUCCCUCAACUAUCCCAGACCAGUAGUCAUCACUGCCUCCUCUACCCCUUGUACAUUUCUCUAUGUGGUCUCACCAGAGAAGUACUAUGUUUGCUCAUAUGUCUGGUCUCACCAGACAGUACCAUGUUUGCUCAACUCAAAGUUCCUUGAGGAAAUAAUUGUAUUUGUAUCUCCAGUGCCUUGCAUAUUUUGUAUCACAUAAUGAGUUCUAUAAAAGAGAACUAAACUGAUGUGGCUAUGAAAUGAUUUACAGCUUUUAACUGGAAUGAGCCUAGUACAAGACUCACUUAGAUGCUGGUGGUUGAUCCUAAGUUUCUCAUGCUGUUAUCUGCAAUCAUUUGCUCUUGCUCUACAUUCAGAAGAGAAAGAAAAACUGGUGACACUAAUCUGGCCUCUAUAUCAUAAUUAGACCAGGGGUAGGAUCUGAGAAACUAGAAAAUAUUUAGCCUACCCCUAGUCACAUCCUAAAAGACAUCAAUGUGGAACUCAAGGAACUCAGUGGAUUUACCAACAUUUAUCAUACCCUAUAUCCACCCAUUAUAACUACUUGAAUUGUCAUGGAUGGGAACAGAAGAUAGAUUUUAUUGUGGAGAACAGAAUAAAUCUAAUAAAAGAAAUAACUAGAGGAAAAGUUGGGGCUAGUUGACGUUUUUAAGUAGAGAUGGGAAAAACAUAAAUGAUGGUGGUCAGCACAGAAAGUUUUGAAUAUAAGGACUUUAGAAAUCAAUGUGGUCACUCUUUUCUAGUAAUAGGCUGACCAUGGACAAAAAUAAUAGGAACAUUAUUCCCUAGUUCCUUUGCAAUGUACUGUACUGUUAUUUAAGCAUCCCAGCAUCAUGCUUGCUUUGAUAAAUACAAAUCUAGCUCAAUUGCCAUGAUUCUGCUUUGAGGCUCUCUCUUUUUUAAUGAUUUAUAUGUCAUGCUCCCCAAAAGUCUUUCUAAAAUCACUGCAACCUCCGCCUCCAGGGUUCAAGGGAUCAUCCCACCUCGGCCUCCUACUAGAUGGAAAUACAGGCCUGAGCCACCACAACCAGCUUGCUAUGCACUUUAUAUACACCAUCUAUAUGUAUACCACCCUCCCAACAACUCCACUUGGUAGGAAUAAUUAUUCUCAUUUUAAAUCAGUUUUAACCUAGGUGUCUCUGGUUCUAGAUCUAGUAUUUUUUCUACAAAUAAUACGGUUCCAAUUUCUUUCUUUUCUUUCUUUUUGUAGAGAUGGGGUCUCACUUUGUCACCCAGGCUGGGCUCAAACUCUUGGCUUCAAGCGAUCUUCUCGCCUUGGUCUCCCAAAGUGCUGGGAUUACAGGCUUGAACUACUGUACUCGACUGACUUUUCCUAUUUCUAAUGUCAGCAUGAAGAACACAAGAAGUCAGCUUCAAAGGUAAGAGGUGUAUCAUUCAUUCAUUCAACAUUUAUUCCACAGCUACGAUGAACCAGGCACUAUAGUCUCUUUGAGGAUAUAAACAUAAAUAAGUUCUGGGACUCGACUUCAGCUUGCUCACAGUCUAAUGGAAAAGAGACAUAAAAACAACUUGGUUUAUUCUAUUUUCCCUAGGCUCUGUAUUUGGAUCCCCACACCUUGUCACUUUUUGCUGCCACUUUACAAACUUUCCAUAUCUUAAGAGUUACUCUAUCUUUAUUUACACAUUAGUAAAACACAAGAAACCUGCCCCAUUUCGUAAGCUGCCUACACUGCUAAAAUCACAUCCUAGAGGGAAGUGAGAUGGAACAAACCAUAAGCAUUUGAACUCGCUUGUGCCGCUCUGGGUUUCCAUGCUGCCAGGGUGUUUGUUCAUUCAUUUAUUUGCAUAUUUUGGAGGGCCUACAGGAGGCCCAGUGCUAGCCAGGGAAACAGCGGUGAAAAUGACAUAACUAGUGUUCUGCCCCCAUGGAGCUUACCCUCUAACCUUUACAGGAAGGGGAGGCAGACAGUCAACAAAAUCCUGGAUUGUGAUAGGUGAGUCAUUAAGGAAAAUCACAGGGUGCUAUGAGAAAGCACAUAUGGUACAGGGACCUAACCUUGGCAGGGGGAUGAGGAAGGCCUCCCCUAGGAAGUGGCAUGAAAGCUGAGAUCUGUGAGUUGAGUGGGAUUAGCUUGGUGAAGAUAGGGGGAAGACGGACAAGGAGGGAAACAGAGAAGAGGAUUCCAAGCUGAGGGAACAGUGCAUACAAAGGGCUGAAGCUGGAAAGAACACAAUACCUCUGAGGUCAGGAAAGAAGGCUAGCAUUUGCAGAAGACAGGCAAUACGAGGGACGGGGUCCGGAGACAGAGCUGGGAAGGAAGCACUGGCCUGAUGAUGCAGUGGUGUUCUGGAUUUCAAAUCUCAUUCUAAGAGCAGCGGGAACAUAUUGAAAGGUUAAAGCAGCUCAGUUGAGUGCACUUAAUGUUCUUUAAAAUUCCCUUGGCUACCUAUGAUUGAAGUAUUGAGAAAAACACAGUGUGAAAACAUGUUUCAUUAAUGAAAAACUUGUUUAGAAUACAAAAGUGGUAUAGAUAAAAGAGUUCUAAAUAAAAAAUAAUGGGUUUUAUUCAUAGCAUUAUUAUCCCAAGUAAGUCAUUUAAUCUCAAAAUAUUUUUGUUUCCUCAUCUAGCAAAUGAAAAUACUAAAAAAUUCAAAAUUCACAUACUUGUUUUAAAAAGCAAAUGAAAUAAUACAUUUGAAAAUGCUUUGAAUCUCUAAAAUGUAAGCUCCUUGAGGGAAGGGACUUUGACUAUUUUACUACUAUACCUAGGACCUAGAAGAUGGAUGGACGGAUGGAUGGAUGGAUGGACGGAUGGAUGGGAUGGAUGGACAGAUGGAUGGACUGAUGAACAGACGGAUGGCUGGAUAAAAGAAAGUGAGGGAGGAAGACAAGAAGGGAAAAAAAGAAAGGAAGGGAAGGAGGGAGGAAGGGAAAAAAGGAUGGACAGGCCAGGCAGGUGGCUCACGCCUGUAAUCCGAGCACCUUGGGAGGCUGAGGUAGACAGAUGGCCUGAGCCCAGGAGUUUGAGACCAGCCUGGGCAACAUGGCAAAACCCUGUCUCCUCAAAAAAUAUAAAAAUUUAGCAGGGUGUGGUAGCGCAUGCCUGUAGUAACAGCUUCUCAGAAGGCUGUGGUGUAGGAUCGAUUGAGCCUAGGAGAUUGAGGCUGCAGUGGGCCUUGAUCACCACUGCAGUCUAGCCUGGGUGACAGAGUGAGAUGCUGCCUCAAAAAAAAAAAAAAACAAAGGAUGGAUGAAUGGAUGAAUGAAUCACAUCAAGCACCAUAUUGUGCAAAUAUGAAGCAAGACAUACAGCAUGUGGCAGUCCACCUGAGCAGGCAGCCUCCCCAGGAACUCAAUGUCACAGCAUCACCAAUGCUUGCCAAGCAGCCAGGCCUUCCUUCAGUGCUGGCACACUGGGCACCUCCAGCAGCUAUUCCAGACGGCUGGGUGAUGGGGGCAAGCACAGCAUCAGAGGCCCAUGACAUCACCUCUUCAGUGUGGCUGGUGAGAGGGGCGAUUGUGAGAAAUGAAACACUGCCUUUUCCUGCUUCUUCUUCCUCAUACACUAGUCUCUGACACGCACCCCAAAGCCAAGCCCUAAGUACACAUCCUUCUCCACUCAUAUAAUCCCUACCUACAGAUUCUUAUUCUUUGUUUACCAAAUGUAGUAUUAGAAUACAUUUUUAUAUAACUUAUUAACACUUUUCUUAUACUGCACAGUCUUAGCUAUGUGUACCCAAUUUCUUAAAGAAUUACAACUAAAGAUAAAAAAGAGAAGAGGAAAAAUAUUAAAAGCCUUAACAUGUUCUUUGAUAUUUAUUAGCUUUAUAACAAUAAUGAUAGUAACCAUUCAUUGAAUACUGACUUUCCUCCAGGCAUAGAGUUUGACACUUAGCCUAUAUCACUUCAAAUCCUUACAACCCCUAAAAAGGUCAGCAUUAUGACUCCAUUUCUUGGGGAAGAAAAUUGAGGCACAGAGCAGAAUGAUUUGCCCAAGGUUAGGAGGUUGUUAAGGGCAGAACCAGUGUUCAAAUCUGGGUCUAUUAGACAAGACAGUGUGCAUUCUUUCCAUUACACUACAUAUUAUUAUGAAAAUCUUCUAAAAGAAAUUGGACUACUUAUGAAAAAAGAGCAACCACUUACUGAACAUUUAAUCUGCCAGGCAGUUAUGCUCUUUACAAAAAUUAUGUCAUUUAAUCCUCUCAACAACUCUGUCAGGUCUGUACUUUUGAAAUGAAGAAACUAAAGCUUAGAGAGACUAGAGUGACUUGCCAAAGCUCAAAAAACGACUAAGUGGUAGAGCCUGGAUUUUAACCCAGGUCUGUCUGACUCUAAAAUGCACCCUCUUAACUGCUACACAAGAGUUCCACUAUUCAAAUAUCAUCAGUAUAACUUGUAUGCCUUCAAAGGAGAAUGUCAAAACAGAAGAACAGGGUCAAAAAACCAUUUUAAAGAUAAUUCAAAAUAACUACUGCAUUAAGACACCAUCUCUAAGAGCCCAUUACUAACCAUUUUCUCUGAGAUGUUGCCUUGUUCUGUUGUCCCAAAUGGCCUUUAGAACGAUCUGCAACCAGUGUUUUCAAUACAAGUGUUUUCCUUUUACAUUUGGUAAGUAAUUUAAAAAUCUGUUUCUAAAACUACCAGUUCAACCAAAUGGAGCUCAUAACUCUGCGCCCAAAUCUUUAGAGACACUGAAAAUGCACACUAAAGUUACUUAGUCCACAAUUCUUAUUAAAUAAUGUUCUUUGAUGGUCAGGAUAAUGUUCAAAGUCACUGUGCAAAUUGCUCAUGUCAUAUAAAAUACUAGAUUUCACUGUUUCUUUCUUUCUUUUUU
This 5530-nucleotide long non-coding RNA is filed under the name Homo sapiens (human). RNAcentral describes it as "non-protein coding lnc-UBE2N-3:4". Lineage: Eukaryota; Metazoa; Chordata; Mammalia; Primates; Hominidae. The record is from RNAcentral.